GGGUUGUGAGGUUAAGCGACUAAGCGUACACGGUGGAUGCCCUGGCAGUCAGAGGCGAUGAAGGACGUGCUAAUCUGCGAUAAGCGCCGGUAAGGUGAUAUGAACCGUUAUAACCGGCGAUUUCCGAAUGGGGAAACCCAGUGUGACUCGUCACACUAUCAUUAACUGAAUCCAUAGGUUAAUGAGGCGAACCGGGGGAACUGAAACAUCUAAGUACCCCGAGGAAAAGAAAUCAACCGAGAUUCCCCCAGUAGCGGCGAGCGAACGGGGAGGAGCCCAGAGCCUGAAUCAGCAUGUGUGUUAGUGGAAGCGUCUGGAAAGGCGCGCGAUACAGGGUGACAGCCCCGUACACAAAAGCGCAUGUGCUGUGAGCUCGAUGAGUAGGGCGGGACACGUGGUAUCCUGUCUGAAUAUGGGGGGACCAUCCUCCAAGGCUAAAUACUCCUGACUGACCGAUAGUGAACCAGUACCGUGAGGGAAAGGCGAAAAGAACCCCGGCGAGGGGAGUGAAAAAGAACCUGAAACCGUGUACGUACAAGCAGUGGGAGCACAGGUUUAC
Molecule: ribosomal RNA, 559 nt
Filed under: Salmonella enterica subsp. enterica serovar Saintpaul
Lineage: Bacteria; Pseudomonadati; Pseudomonadota; Gammaproteobacteria; Enterobacterales; Enterobacteriaceae
Description: partial 23S ribosomal RNA
Rfam family: Bacterial large subunit ribosomal RNA
Source: RNAcentral